CGGCAAGUCUUAUACGGCCAGCUCCUGCAGAACUCCCCCAGGAUCGGAAGAUAGCAAGGGUAUGUGGUUGAGCGGUGCGAUAUAAGUAACUUGCCGAUU
Molecule: signal recognition particle RNA, 99 nt
Filed under: Bacteroidota bacterium
Lineage: Bacteria; Pseudomonadati; Bacteroidota
Description: signal recognition particle sRNA small type
Rfam family: Bacteroidales small SRP
About the family: The non-coding component of the signal recognition particle in Bacteroides
Source: RNAcentral